AUUCCAGCUCCAAUAGCGUAUAUUUAAGUUGUUGCAGUUAAAAGGCUCGUAGUUGAAUUUUGGACCUGGUUGAAUGGUCCCGCCGCAAGGUGGGUACUGUUUGAUUGGGUCUUUCUUUGCGGGGAAUUAGUGUGCUCUUAAUUGUGUGCUGCUUGGAUUCGGGACCUUUACUUUGAAAAAAUUAGAGUGUUCAAAGCAGGCGUCGGCUUGAAUACAUUAGCAUGGAAUAAUGGAAUAGGACUUUGGUUCUAUUUUGUUGGUUUCUAGGACCGAAGUAAUGAUUAAUAGGGACAGUUGGGGGCAUUAGUAUUUAAUUGUCAGAGGUGAAAUUCUUGGAUUUAUGAAAGACUAACUACUGCGAAAGCAUUUGCCAAGGAUGUUUUCAUCG
RNAcentral lists this ribosomal RNA (388 nucleotides) under Choanoflagellata sp. RNAcentral's name for it is "partial small subunit ribosomal RNA". It matches the Rfam family "Eukaryotic small subunit ribosomal RNA", at positions 582 to 975 of the family's 1831-position model. Lineage: Eukaryota; Choanoflagellata. The record is from RNAcentral.